GCCGAGGUGGCGGAACUGGCAGACGCGCUAGCUUGAGGGGCUAGUGACCUUCGGGUUGUGCGGGUUCAAAUCCCGCCCUCGGCA
RNAcentral lists this transfer RNA (84 nucleotides) under Chloroflexota bacterium. RNAcentral describes it as "Chloroflexi bacterium tRNA-Leu". It matches the Rfam family "tRNA". From Rfam's summary of the family: Transfer RNA (tRNA) molecules are approximately 80 nucleotides in length. Lineage: Bacteria; Bacillati; Chloroflexota. The record is from RNAcentral.